GAAAUGCGAUAAAUAAUGUGAAUUGCAGAAUUCCGUGAAUCAUCGAAUCUUUGAACGCAUCUUGCGCCUAUUAGUAUUCUAGUAGGCAUGCCUAUUCGAGCGUCGUUUCUAUAUUCAGCUAAUCUUUUAGUUGGUGUUAGAGGCUAGGGAUUAUUACUAGCUUCUUAAAUUUAAUAGCUAUUGUAUCUAGUGUUCUUCUACAAAGUAAAUCUUAUCUGUUUAAGAACACAUUUAUAUAAGCAUUAAUUAUUAUUAUUAUUAUUAGUUGACCUCGAAUUAGGUAGGAAUACCCGCUGAACUUAA
RNAcentral lists this unclassified non-coding RNA (303 nucleotides) under uncultured fungus. Its description in RNAcentral is "sequence contains ITS1". The stretch from base 1 to 105 matches the Rfam family "5.8S ribosomal RNA", at positions 50 to 154 of the family's 154-position model. The record is from RNAcentral. Lineage: Eukaryota; Fungi.